Molecule: ribosomal RNA, 1151 nt
Filed under: uncultured Cryomorphaceae bacterium
Lineage: Bacteria; Pseudomonadati; Bacteroidota; Flavobacteriia; Flavobacteriales; Cryomorphaceae
Description: bacterial SSU rRNA
Rfam family: Bacterial small subunit ribosomal RNA
Source: RNAcentral
AUGGAGGAACUCUGAUGCAGCCAUGCCGCGUGCAGGAUGAAUGCCCUACGGGUUGUAAACUGCUUUUGUAUAGGAAGAAACUUUUCUACGUGUAGAGAACUGACGGUACUAUAAGAAUAAGGACCGGCUAACUCCGUGCCAGCAGCCGCGGUAAUACGGAGGGUCCAAGCGUUAUCCGGAUUUAUUGGGUUUAAAGGGUCCGUAGGCGGGAGGAUAAGUCAGUGGUGAAAGCCUACAGCUCAACUGUAGAACUGCCAUUGAAACUGUUUUUCUUGAAUAUAGAUGAAGUGGGCGGAAUAUAUCAUGUAGCGGUGAAAUGCAUAGAUAUGAUAUAGAACACCGAUUGCGAAGGCAGCUCACUAAACUAUUAUUGACGCUGAGGGACGAAAGCGUGGGGAGCGAACAGGAUUAGAUACCCUGGUAGUCCACGCCGUAAACGAUGAUUACUCGGUGCUAGCGAUAUACUGUUAGUGCCUAAGCGAAAGCGAUAAGUAAUCCACCUGGGAAGUACGGUCGCAAGAUUGAAACUCAAAGGAAUUGACGGGGGCCCGCACAAGCGGUGGAGCAUGUGGUUUAAUUCGAUGAUACGCGAGGAACCUUACCUGGGCUUAAAUGUAUUUUGACAGGCUGGGAAACCAGUCCUUCUUCGGACAAUUUACAAGGUGCUGCAUGGUUGUCGUCAGCUCGUGCUGUGAGGUGUCGGGUUAAGUCCCAUAACGAGCGCAACCCCUAUCCUUAGUUGCCAGCGAGUAAUGUCGGGGACUCUAAGGAAACUGCCGGUGCAAACCGUGAGGAAGGUGGGGAUGACGUCAAAUCAUCACGGCCCUUACGUCCAGGGCUACACACGUGCUACAAUGGCGGAUACAAAGGGCAGCUACUUGGUGACAAGAUGCUAAUCUCGAAAGUCCGUCUCAGUUCGGAUCGAAGUCUGCAACUCGACUUCGUGAAGCUGGAAUCGCUAGUAAUCGCGUAUCAGCAAUGACGCGGUGAAUACGUUCCCGGGCCUUGUACACACCGCCCGUCAAGCCAUGGAAGUUGGGAGUGCCUGAAGUCGGUGACCGCAAGGAGCUGCCUAAGGUAAAACUGAUAACUAGGGCUAAGUCGUAACAAGGUAGCCGUACCGGAAGGUGCGGCUGGAACACCUCCUUUUU